Molecule: long non-coding RNA, 361 nt
Organism: Pectinophora gossypiella (pink bollworm)
Lineage: Eukaryota; Metazoa; Arthropoda; Insecta; Lepidoptera; Gelechiidae
Exons: 3
Source: RefSeq, a predicted model, not a curated record
AAAUAUCUAAGUAAUAGGGCAAUGGGAUGUGAGAUAUUAUAAGUAUUUAUAGUUUAAAAACAGUCAAAUCAACGCCAAGCAAACCUAAACUUAAUGACACUGAUUAAAGCUUAUAAUUAAACAAGAGAGACUUACAAGAAGAUUGUGUUUAAUAUGACUACAGAAUAGUGGGAAUCAUAAUGGAAGGAAGACAAAAUAAGAUGCAACGUACGGGUUUUAGCUACAAUAAUUAGUAAGAUUGAAGACUUCUUGACGAUGUUUAUAAUGUAUCCUAUAAAAUAUUCACUCGCCAGAAUCGUCCAAAGAUCCAGGAGGGACAGGUAUCUACUCCAAACCUGGAAUCUGUUGCAGAAUAUUAAAG